UACAGAGGUCCCAAGCGUUGUUCGGAUUCACUGGGCGUAAAGGGCGUGUAGGCGGGAAUGUAAGUCGGGCGUGAAAGCCCCAGGCUCAACCUGGGAACUGCACUCGAAACUGCGUUUCUUGAGUAUCGGAGAGGAAAGCGGAAUACCUGGUGUAGAGGUGAAAUUCGUAGAUAUCAGGUGGAACACCAGUGGCGAAGGCGGCUUUCUGGACGAUUACUGACGCUGAGACGCGAAAGCGUGGGGAGCAAACAGG
RNAcentral lists this ribosomal RNA (253 nucleotides) under uncultured bacterium. Its description in RNAcentral is "partial 16S ribosomal RNA". It matches the Rfam family "Bacterial small subunit ribosomal RNA", at positions 524 to 776 of the family's 1533-position model. The record is from RNAcentral.